RNAcentral lists this transfer-messenger RNA (396 nucleotides) under Microbacteriaceae. RNAcentral's name for it is "Subtercola boreus_C Standard tmRNA". It matches the Rfam family "transfer-messenger RNA". From Rfam's summary of the family: Bacterial tmRNA, also known as 10Sa RNA or SsrA, is named for its dual tRNA and mRNA-like properties. Its role is to liberate the mRNA from a stalled ribosome. The record is from RNAcentral. RNAcentral also lists the same sequence under 1 other name. Lineage: Bacteria; Bacillati; Actinomycetota; Actinomycetes; Micrococcales.
GGGGAUGAUCGGUUUCGACAUUGCCUGAGUGAGUGUGAGAAGCGGGCCGAGGACGCACGGUUAUCUCGUAAACGAUCCGCGCAAACAAUAAGUGCCAAUCAAAACAGCACUGUUCCGGCCAAGCAGGCCGCUUUCGCUCUCGCAGCCUAAGCACCAGCUAGCCGCAUAAGGAACCGUCAGACCGGGAAUGCCCUCUACCCGGAUCCUGGCGUUAUCUAGAGGGAUUGCUUGUGCGUCACGCCUGAGGGCGCACAGGGACUUGCACUCGGGCUGGGCUCGUCGGAUCAGGUGCCAGCGACAACUUCCGGAGCCGAGUAGAACAUCUUGCUGGCUACGCCCGUAGAAGGCAUACGACCACAGCAGUGGACCGGGGUUCAAUUCCCCGCAUCUCCACCG